Molecule: transfer RNA, 76 nt
Rfam family: tRNA
About the family: Transfer RNA (tRNA) molecules are approximately 80 nucleotides in length.
AGCCGGGUGGUGUAGCGGUCAAGCACGCCGGACUCGCCAUCCGGAGACCCCGGUUCGAAUCCGGGCCCGGCUACCA